RNAcentral lists this ribosomal RNA (492 nucleotides) under uncultured bacterium. RNAcentral's name for it is "partial 16S ribosomal RNA". It matches the Rfam family "Bacterial small subunit ribosomal RNA", at positions 29 to 507 of the family's 1533-position model. The record is from RNAcentral.
AGUGAACGCUAGCGGUAGGCCUAACACAUGCAAGUCGAACGGCAGCACAGUAAGAGCUUGCUCUUACGGGUGGCGAGUGGCGGACGAGUGAGGAAUACAUCGGAAUCUACUUUUUCGUGGGGGAUAACGUAGGGAAACUUACGCUAAUACCGCAUACGACCUACGGGUGAAAGCAGGGGAUCUUCGGACCUUGCGCGAUUGAAUGAGCCGAUGUCGGAUUAGCUAGUUGGCGGGGUAAAGGCCCACCAAGGCGACGAUCCGUAGCUGGUCUGAGAGGAUGAUCAGCCACACUGGAACUGAGACACGGUCCAGACUCCUACGGGAGGCAGCAGUGGGGAAUAUUGGACAAAGGGCGCAAGCCUGAUCCAGCCAUACCGCGUGGGUGAAGAAGGCCUUCGGGUUGUAAAGCCCUUUUGUUGGGAAAGAAAAGCAGCAGGUUAAUACCCCGCUGUUCUGACGGUACCCAAAGAAUAAGCACCGGCUAACUUCGUG